CCCUUAGAUGUUCUGGGCCGCACGCGCGCUACACUGAUACGUUCAGCGAGUAUAUAACCUUGAUUGGAAAAUCUGGGUAAUCUUUUGAAUGCGUAUCGUGCUAGGGAUAGAUUAUUGCAAUUAUUAAUCUUGAACGAGGAAUUCCUAGUAAACGCAAGUCAUCAGCUUGCACUGAUUACGUCCCUGCCCUUUGUACACACCGCCUGUCGCACAAACCGAUUGAAUGAUUCGGUGAAAAUUUUGGACAUCGAGAGUGGUGAUUAAUUUCGCUGCUCUUAAAUGGAAAGAAUUUAAACCUAAUUAUUUAGAGGAUUGUGAAGUCAUAACA
RNAcentral lists this ribosomal RNA (328 nucleotides) under uncultured eukaryote. RNAcentral describes it as "partial 18S ribosomal RNA". It matches the Rfam family "Eukaryotic small subunit ribosomal RNA", at positions 1470 to 1796 of the family's 1831-position model. The record is from RNAcentral.